UUAAAAUUUAAUUUAGGUUUUCUCGGUUAAAUUUUGCUUUGUUUAUUUAUGUUAAUUUUGAUUUUAAAGAAUUUUGAUUGCAGUUAUUAUUAUUAUAUAUUUAAUAAUUUAAGAUAUAGCAAUAGUGCAUAGUACUGACACAAUUUGUGCCAGCAGUCGCGGUUAUACAGAUAGUGCUAUUUAAUGUUUUCGGUGGAAAGUUAAUUUUUAUUUAAUUUUGAUUGAUUUAAAUUUUAAGGUGAAAUUUAAAUUUGGUGUUAAUGAUUAUUUGAUGAAAUGAAGCUUGGAUAUUUUUGGUAUUAAACUAGGAUUAGAUACCCUAUUAUAAUAAAAUGUUAUAGAAUUACACUGAAUUAGUAAGAGAUAUAAUCUUGAAAAUUAAAUAUUUUGGCGGUAUUUUAAGACCCUUCAGAGGAACCUGUCCUGUAAUCGAUAGUCCACGAUUAUAAUAUAUUUAUCUAUGUGUUUGUAUAUCGUCGUUUUUGAAAAUUUUAAAAAGAUUAAUUUUCAAAGUUUUAUAUUUAAAAAUAAAUCAGAUCAAGGUGCAGCAUUGUUAAGAAGUGAUGGGUUACAUUAUAUUUAUAUUUGGAUUUAUUAUUUAAAAUAUUAGUGAGCAUGGAUUUGAUAGUAAUUUUUUCUAUAUAGGAAAAAUGAUAUGGGCUCUAGAAUAUGCACAUAUCGCCCGUCGCUUUCGUAUAUUUAUGAAAUAAGUCGUAACAUAGUAGACCUAUUGGAAGGUGGGUCUGGAAUGAU
This 753-nucleotide non-coding RNA is filed under the name Smaragdina reyi. The record is from RNAcentral. Lineage: Eukaryota; Metazoa; Arthropoda; Insecta; Coleoptera; Chrysomelidae.